GUCUUGUAUCAAAGUAGCGAAGGGAUGGGAACUGUGGAUUAGCUUAGUAAAAAGGUAUUUUGGUCAGCAACACCAUUUGGGUAACAAUGCCAUUUUGAAACAGGCCAGGAAGAGUUAUAAUGAAAAUAAACAUUGUUUGGAAUGGAGGCAGCAGGCAGAGUUCAUUUUCUCUCUUUCCCUUUCAGGUAGUUCUGAACAAUAAAAGCCACCAACCAUUAAAAAAAAAAAAAACCUGAAAUGUUUAUUGCCUGCACAGAGCUUGCAAAGUGAAAAC
RNAcentral lists this long non-coding RNA (274 nucleotides) under Homo sapiens (human). RNAcentral's name for it is "non-protein coding lnc-PPARGC1A-5:1". Lineage: Eukaryota; Metazoa; Chordata; Mammalia; Primates; Hominidae. The record is from RNAcentral.